GGCUGUAAACCAAGUGGACAGAAGUUGACACCAUUGAUCACCAAGGUUGAUUCAGCUGAUCUGGAUACCUAGGCAGCUGCCCCAUUCCUCCUUUACUGCUCCACAUGCCUGCCUCCUGAAACUGCAUGCUCAGUGGAAAAGGACAGACAUUCCAGAUAGGAGUGUACAGUUAUUUAAUCAAGAGUAUACAACAGUUGCACUCCCCUGCUAGAAGUUCCAGUCAAGCUCCAGGUUCAUUUGUAGGAGCUCUAAUAAGGUGUUCAAGGUAUAUGAGAUAUUUAGGGAUGAUUUUACUAUUACUUCCU
RNAcentral lists this small nuclear RNA (305 nucleotides) under Pogona vitticeps (central bearded dragon). Its description in RNAcentral is "7SK RNA (ENSPVIG00000008124.1)". It matches the Rfam family "7SK RNA". From Rfam's summary of the family: 7SK was discovered as an abundant small nuclear RNA in the mid-70s but a possible function has only recently been suggested. Lineage: Eukaryota; Metazoa; Chordata; Lepidosauria; Squamata; Agamidae. The record is from Rfam by way of RNAcentral.